GAUUUAUUCAGAUCAACACCAAACUUUGUCAGUGUAAUCUAAAGGCCUUUGCGAUGUUAAAUUGCGAAGAUCUUGAGGUUUCGUUUAAGGGCGUGUCUGUGGCGGCCUUACAAAUUUCGAUGUUUCGCCAUGAGAAAGGAAGUUGCUAUAACUCAGACAUACAAUGUCCAAUCUGCCCCAAACUUCACAUGUUUGAGAAGACUCCUGACCUGAAUAUAUCUACAUGCCAAUAUUCAGAUAUCGCUAUAGCGCCACCUGCUGGCAACAGGAAGUGACAUGUUUUACGCCCUAACAAACUACUCCUAGAUAUUUUAUGACAUUUUAUACUUUUUUUUGGUCAGUCUAAUCUAAAGGCCAUUGCGAUGUUAAAUUGUGAACAUCUUGAGGUUUCAUUAAAGGGUGUGGACAUGGCGCCAUGACAAAGUUUGAUGUCUCGCCAUGGGAAUAGAAGUUGCUGUAACUCAGGCAUAAGACGUCCGAUCUUCCCCAAACUUCACAUGUUCGAAAAGAGUCUUGGCCUGAACACAUCUGAAGGUCAAUAUUCCACUAUAAUCAUAGCGCCACCUGCUGGCAACAGGAAAUGUCUUGUUUUACACUAACUUAAACAUGCAAUGUCCAAUCUGCACCAAAAUUCAAAUAUUUGGAAAGAGUCAUGGCCUGAAGAUAUCUAAAGGCCAAUAUUCAGUUAUAAUCAUAGCGCCACCUGUUGGCAAUAGGACACCUCAUGCCUUAUAUUAACCUCAAACAUUCCAUGUUCAAUCUGCACUAAAUUUCAUAUGCUUGAUAAAAGUGCUGGACUGAAGAAAUCUACAUGCCAAAAUCCAGUUAUAGUCAUAGCGCCACCAGCUGGCAGCAGGAAGAUUGGCACAUAUAAAUGACUUUGACAUAUUUCUCUUAUAUUUACCACAUUAAACGCAUAUAUCUCGCCGUUCACUGUUUUACAAAAGCCACCCGGUGGUGGUGAGCCC
Long non-coding RNA from Cyprinus carpio carpio, 968 nucleotides. Lineage: Eukaryota; Metazoa; Chordata; Actinopteri; Cypriniformes; Cyprinidae. The record is from Ensembl.